UAGGGAAUCUUCCGCAAUGGACGAAAGUCUGACGGAGCAACGCCGCGUGAGUGAAGAAGGAUUUCGGUUCGUAAAACUCUGUUGUUAGGGAAGAAAAAAUGUAUAGUAACUAUAUACAAAAGAGACGGUACCUAACCAGAAAGCCACGGCUAACUACGUGCCAGCAGCCGCGGUAAUACGUAGGUAGCAAGCGUUGUCCGGAAUUAUUGGGCGUAAAGCGCGCGCAGGUGGUUUAGAAAGUCUGAUGUGAAAGCCCACGGCUCAACCGUGGAGGGUCAUUGGAAACUAAUAAACUUGAGUGCAGGAGAGAAAAGUGGAAUUCCUAGUGUAGCGGUGAAAUGCGUAGAGAUUAGGAGGAACACCGGUGGCGAAAGCGGCUUUUUGGCCUGCAACUGACACUGAGGCGCGAAAGCGUGGGGAGCAAACAGG
This 429-nucleotide ribosomal RNA is filed under the name Verrucomicrobiota bacterium. RNAcentral's name for it is "Verrucomicrobia bacterium partial 16S ribosomal RNA". It matches the Rfam family "Bacterial small subunit ribosomal RNA", at positions 355 to 776 of the family's 1533-position model. The record is from RNAcentral. Lineage: Bacteria; Pseudomonadati; Verrucomicrobiota.